GGGCCUAUAGCUCAGUUAGUUUAGAGCACACGCCUGAUAAGCGUGAGGGCAGUGGUGCAAUUCCACUUAGGCCCA
RNAcentral lists this transfer RNA (75 nucleotides) under Elusimicrobiota bacterium. Its description in RNAcentral is "Elusimicrobia bacterium (groundwater metagenome) tRNA-Ile". It matches the Rfam family "tRNA". Rfam says of the family: Transfer RNA (tRNA) molecules are approximately 80 nucleotides in length. The record is from RNAcentral. Lineage: Bacteria; Pseudomonadati; Elusimicrobiota.